Molecule: long non-coding RNA, 302 nt
Filed under: Pan troglodytes (chimpanzee)
Lineage: Eukaryota; Metazoa; Chordata; Mammalia; Primates; Hominidae
Description: long non-coding RNA NONPTRT007545
Source: RNAcentral
CCUUUGGCCACACUGAGUUUGAAAGGUGCUGUGCAUGGUAACAUGGGAUUGAAUGACUGAUUGGUCUACUAACUGAUUAAUUGAUAAGUGAUCCUGAGACCUCUUUCUAAGAUGAAACUCACUUUGAGGACCCUGGCUGACUCAGAUACACCCUGGACAAGCACAGAUAGAAAACAAAGAAGGCGCACAUGCAGCAGGAAUGCCUUGGAGGGGAAGAGCCCACAUUCAUGUAGCUCACCUGCAUGACAGGUGAAGGAAGGGCUUGUGGAGGGUCACCUAGUUCACCAGCAACAGAUCAGGGA